This is a long non-coding RNA of Uranotaenia lowii, 834 nucleotides long. RefSeq lists it as uncharacterized. The transcript is spliced from 3 exons. Lineage: Eukaryota; Metazoa; Arthropoda; Insecta; Diptera; Culicidae. The record is from RefSeq and is a predicted model, not a curated record.
CAGCCGCUUUGUUCACAGACACCAGCCGCCGCGCCAAUUUGGAGGAAAAUAAAAAGCUGUCGCGAUUAAGAGCGGUUCCGGUUGUUCGUUACUGGUGGUUCUUGUGGUGGCCAACUCCAAGACUAAAUGGUAUCUGAAUCGACACCGGAUGCUUACAGUGUCAGCCGAGCGUCUCGGAAAAAAGGUUCUGUUCCGAUGGAAGGAUUUUGGAGGAAACCGGCUUCAGAGUUGACGAAAUAGGAACUAACUUUGGAUAUGGCGAUGACUUUCGAGGAGGUGAGGUGAAAAGGAGAAGCGGUUCGAUUUUUGAGCUCACAAACCGAAGGAAAAUCGCUCCAAACUGUAGAUAAAUCCAAAGCCUAGAAUCAUCUACUGAGCAUAACGAUGGAAUGACUGAUGAUAGUGAUAAAUUCUCAGCGGAAAAAAUCGUAAAAAUCAUUGCAAAAAAUAGUACCGACCUGUAUGUUGUGAUUUUACGAAUCUCAAUUCAGAGAUUCACUUAAACAUGUCUGUCACUCACAAGAAUAGAUCAAUGACUGACUUUGUUUUGUUUGUUUACCUAGUGUCGUCUUAUUCCACCAGAAGGCCAAACCAAAACAAUCAGCAGCAGCAGCCUUAAAUAUCUUCGCUUCUUAAAGCCAAUCCGUCUUAUUCCACCGGAAGGCCAAACCAAAACAAUCAGCAGCAGCAGCCUUAAAUAUCUGCGCUUCUUAAAGCCAAUCCGUCUUAUUCCACCGGAAGGCCAAAUCAAAACAAUCAGCAGCAGCAGCUUUGAAUAUCUGCGUUUCUUAAAGCCAAUUCCGUCUUAUUCCACCGGAAGGCCAAACCAAAACA